This 72-nucleotide transfer RNA is filed under the name Capra hircus (goat). It matches the Rfam family "tRNA". Rfam says of the family: Transfer RNA (tRNA) molecules are approximately 80 nucleotides in length. Their secondary structure includes four short double-helical elements and three loops (D, anti-codon, and T loops). Further hydrogen bonds mediate the characteristic L-shaped molecular structure. tRNAs have two regions of fundamental functional importance: the anti-codon, which is responsible for specific mRNA codon recognition, and the 3' end, to which the tRNAs corresponding amino acid is attached (by aminoacyl-tRNA synthetases). tRNAs cope with the degeneracy of the genetic code in two manners: having more than one tRNA (with a specific anti-codon) for a particular amino acid; and 'wobble' base-pairing, i.e. permitting non-standard base-pairing at the 3rd anti-codon position. Lineage: Eukaryota; Metazoa; Chordata; Mammalia; Artiodactyla; Bovidae. RNAcentral also lists the same sequence under 1 other name. The record is from Rfam by way of RNAcentral.
UCCCUGGUGGCUCAGAUGGUAAAGAACCUGCCUGCAAUGCAGGAGAUCUAGGUUCAGUCCCUUGGUGGGGAA